RNAcentral lists this ribosomal RNA (253 nucleotides) under uncultured bacterium. RNAcentral's name for it is "partial 16S ribosomal RNA". It matches the Rfam family "Bacterial small subunit ribosomal RNA", at positions 524 to 776 of the family's 1533-position model. The record is from RNAcentral.
UACAGAGGUCUCAAGCGUUGUUCGGAUUCAUUGGGCGUAAAGGGUGCGCAGGCGGUCGGGUGUGUCAGAUGUGAAAUCCCGAGGCUCAACCUCGGAACUGCGUCUGAAACUACUCGACUAGAGUACUGGAGAGGGUAACGGAAUUCACGGUGUAGCAGUGAAAUGCGUAGAUAUCGUGAGGAACACCAGAGGCGAAGGCGGUUACCUGGACAGUUACUGACGCUCAGGCACGAAAGCAUGGGGAGCAAAAGGG